AGGUGAAAAGAACCCCGGGAGGGGAGUGAAAGAGAACCUGAAACCGUAUGCUUACAAGCAGAGAGAGCACGACUUAACGUGUGAUCUCGUACUUUUUGUAGAACGGACCGGCGAGUUACGUUAUGUAGCGAGGUUAAGGUAUUAAGUACCGGAGCCGAAGCGAAAGCGAGUGUUAAUAGUGCGAACAGUUGCAUGACGUAGACCCGAAACCGAGUGACCUAUCCAUGAGCAGGUUGAAGCAGUGGUAACACACUGUGGAGGACCGAACUCACGCCUGUUGAAAUAGUCGGAGAUGACUUGUGGAUAGCGGAGAAAUUCUAAUCGAACUCGGAUAUAGCUGGUUCUCCUCGAAAUAGCUUUAGGGCUAGCCUCUGUAUAGAGUACUGAAGGUAGAGCACUGUAUGGGCUAGGGGGCUUCACGGCUUACCGAACCUUAACAAACUUCGAAUGACAGAUACUUGUUUGCAGGGAGUCAGACAGCGUGAGAUAAGUUUCGUUGUCGAAAGGGAAACAGCCCAGAUCUACAGCUAAGGUCCCGAAGUGCAGGUUAAGUGGAAAAGGAUGUAUUGUUGCUAAAACAACCAGGAUGUUGGCUUAGAAGCAGCCACUCAUUUAAAGAGUGCGUAAUAGCUCACUGGUCGAGUGACAACGCGCCGAAGAUUAACGGGGCUAAAACCUGCCACCGAAGCUUAGGAAUGAACGCAAGUUCAUUGGUAGAGGAGCAAUGUAUGCACGCAGAAGCCGUAUCGAAAGGGGCGGUGGAGAGCAUACAAGAGAGAAUGCCGGUAUAAGUAGCGCAAGCGGAGCGAGAAACUCCGCCAUCGAAAGUCUGAGGUUUCCUGGGGAAGGUUCGUCCGCCCAGGGUAAGUCGGGACCUAAGUUGAGGGCGAAAGCCGUAGAUGAUGGACAGCAGGUAGACAUUCCUGUACCGCCACCGGACGCUUUUACCGAAGCAGUGACACAGAAGGAUAGUCAGACCUUGGCGAAUGGUAGAGCCAGGACAGAGCGAGAGGCCGAGACGCAGUGAAGUACACGUCUCGUGAGGCUGGUCGUGAGUGGACCUAAAUGAUGGGAAGCUGAUGAAUUCACGCUGGCGAGAAAAGCUGCUAGGGAGGAAGGUGGUGCCCGUACCGCAAACCGACACAGGUAGACGAGGUGAGAAACCUAAGAUGAACGGGAUAACUCUUGUUAAGGAACUCGGCAAAAUGACCCCGUAACUUCGGGAGAAGGGGUGCCACGCGAGUGGCCGCAGUGAAAAGUCCCAAGCGACUGUUUACCAAAAACACAGGUCUCUGCGAAAUCGAAAGAUGACGUAUAGGGGCUGACGCCUGCCCAGUGCUGGAAGGUUAAGGGGAGUUGUUAGAGCAAUCGAAGCAAUGAACUUAAGCCCCAGUGAACGGCGGCCGUAACUAUAACGGUCCUAAGGUAGCGAAAUUCCUUGUCAGGUAAGUUCUGACCCGCACGAAUGGCGUAACGACUUGGGAACUGUCUCAACAAGAGGCCCGGCGAAAUUGUAGUAUACGUGAAGAUGCGUAUUAACCCGCGACUGGACGGAAAGACCCCGUAGAGCUUUACUGUAACUUGAUAUUGAAUUUCGGCAACUGAUGUACAGGAUAGGUGGGAGACUGAGAAGCGGAGGCGUCAGCCUUUGUGGAGUCGCCGUUGGGAUACCACCCUUUGGUUGCUGGGGUUCUAACGUUCAGCCGUAAGCCGGCGAACGGACAGUGUCAGGUGGGCAGUUUGACUGGGGCGGUCGCCUCCCAAAACGUAACGGAGGCGCCCAAAGGUUCCCUCAGAAUGGUUGGAAAUCAUUCGCAGAGUGCAAAGGCAGAAGGGAGCUUAACUGUGAAGACAGACAUGUCGAGCAGAUACGAAAGUAGGGCUUAGUGAUCCGGCGGUAGAGAAUGGAAUUGCCGUCGCUUAACGGAUAAAAGUUACCUCGGGGAUAACAGGCUGAUCCCUCCCAAGAGUUCACAUCGACGGAGGGGUUUGGCACCUCGAUGUCGGCUCGUCACAUCCUGGGGCUGUAGCAGGUCCCAAGGGUUCGGCUGUUCGCCGAUUAAAGUGGCACGCGAGCUGGGUUCAGAACGUCGUGAGACAGUUCGGUCCCUAUCCAUCGUG
This 2121-nucleotide ribosomal RNA is filed under the name human gut metagenome. RNAcentral describes it as "bacterial LSU rRNA". It matches the Rfam family "Bacterial large subunit ribosomal RNA", at positions 512 to 2649 of the family's 2925-position model. The record is from RNAcentral.